CGCCUCUUGACAAACGAUAAGAGGUCCUGCCUGCCCAGUGAUAAAUUCAACGGCCGCGGUACCCUAACCGUGCAAAGGUAGCAUAAUCACUUGUUCCUUAAAUAGGGACUCGUAUCAACGGCAUCACGAGGGUUACACUGUCUCCCCCCCUCCAAUCAGUGAAACUGAUCUCCCCAUGAAAAAGUGGGGAUAACACUAUAAGACGAGAAGACCCCAUGGAGCUUUAAACCCAAUAGCAAUUUAGCAAAGCUACAAAACUAUGCUAGCGGCUUUAGGUUGGGGCGACCACGGAGUAAAAAUUAACCUCCAUAACGAAAAGAUUUCAAUCUUUACCCAAGAACCACUAUUCUAAGAAUUAGGAAACUAACGGACUAUGACCCGAUAUCGAUCAAUGAACCAAGUUACCCUGGGGAUAACAGCGCAAUCUACUUCAAGAGUCCAUAUCGACAAGUAGGCUUACGACCUCGAUGUUGGAUCAGGGUAUCCCAGUGGUGCAGCCGCUACUGAAGGUUCGUUUGUUCAACGAUUAAAACCCU
Molecule: ribosomal RNA, 536 nt
Filed under: Raorchestes dubois
Lineage: Eukaryota; Metazoa; Chordata; Amphibia; Anura; Rhacophoridae
Description: partial 16S ribosomal RNA
Rfam family: Bacterial large subunit ribosomal RNA
Source: RNAcentral